This 548-nucleotide ribosomal RNA is filed under the name uncultured bacterium. RNAcentral's name for it is "bacterial SSU rRNA". It matches the Rfam family "Bacterial small subunit ribosomal RNA", at positions 355 to 895 of the family's 1533-position model. The record is from RNAcentral.
UAGGGAAUCUUCCGCAAUGGGCGAAAGCCUGACGGAGCAACGCCGCGUGAGUGAAGAAGGAUUUCGGUUCGUAAAGCUCUGUUGUUAGGGAAGAAUGAUUGUAUAGUAACUAUAUACAGUAGAGACGGUACCUAACCAGAAAGCCACGGCUAACCACGUGCCAGCAGCCGCGGUAAUACGUAGGUGGCAAGCGUUGUCCGGAAUUAUUGGGCGUAAAGCGCGCGCAGGUGGUUUAAUAAGUCUGAUGUGAAAGCCCACGGCCCCAACCGUGGAGGGUCAUUGGAAACUGUUAAACUUGAGUGCAGGAGAGAAAAGUGGAAUUCCUAGUGUAGCGGUGAAAUGCGUAGAGAUUAGGAGGAACACCAGUGGCGAAGGCGGCUUUUUGGCCUGUAACUGACACUGAGGCGUGAAAGCGUGGGGAGCAAACAGGAUUAGAUACCCUGGUAGUCCACGCCGUAAACGAUGAGUGCUAAGUGUUGGUCUCAUAAGAGAUCAGUGCUGCAGCUAACGCAUUAAGCACUCCGCCUGGGGAGUACGACCGCAAGGUU